This 922-nucleotide ribosomal RNA is filed under the name uncultured bacterium. RNAcentral's name for it is "bacterial SSU rRNA". It matches the Rfam family "Bacterial small subunit ribosomal RNA", at positions 48 to 984 of the family's 1533-position model. The record is from RNAcentral.
CUAAUACAUGCAAGUCGAACGGGGCAGCAAUGCCUAGUGGCGCACGGGUGCGUAACGCGUAUGCAACCUACCUUUCAGCGGGGGAUAGCCCGGGGAAACCCGGAUUAAUACCGCAUAAGAUCAUAGAAUGGCAUCAUUUAGUGAUUAAACAUUUAUGGCUGAAAGAUGGGCAUGCGUUAGAUUAGCUAGUUGGUGAGGUAGCAGCUCACCAAGGCGAUGAUCUAUAGGGGUUCUGAGAGGAAGAUCCCCCACACUGGUACUGAGAUACGGACCAGACUCCUACGGGAGGCAGCAGUAGGGAAUAUUGGGCAAUGCUCGCAAGAGUGACCCAGCCAUGCCGCGUGCAGGAAGAAGGCCUUCUGGGUUGUAAACUGCUUUUGGAAGGGAACAAAACGGGCAUGCGUGCCAACUUGAGUGUACCUUCAGAAUAAGCACCGGCUAACUCCGUGCCAGCAGCCGCGGUAAUACGGAGGGUGCAAGCGUUGUCCGGAUUUAUUGGGUUUAAAGGGUGCGUAGGCGGCUUAUUAAGUCAGGGGUGAAAGACUGCAGCUCAACUGUAGCAGUGCCUUUGAUACUGAUGAGCUUGAGUACAGAUGAGGCUGGCGGAAUGGGUGGUGUAGCGGUGAAAUGCAUAGAUACCAUCCAGAACACCGAUUGCGAAGGCAGCCGGCUAAACUGUAACUGACGCUGAGGCACGAAAGCGUGGGGAUCGAACAGGAUUAGAUACCCUGGUAGUCCACGCUGUAAACGAUGAUUACUCGAUGUUCGCGAUAUACAGUGAGCGUCCAAGCGAAAGCGUUAAGUAAUCCACCUGGGGAGUACGCCCGCAAGGGUGAAACUCAAAGGAAUUGACGGGGUCCGCACAAGCGGUGGAGCAUGUGGUUUAAUUCGAUGAUACGCGAGGAACCUUACCUGGGCUAGA